UUCGUAGUUGUCCUGACUCCGUGAACGGACACGGUCGUGGUUUGUGGGCUGUCACAUAUUCCUCUUGUGCAGGUUUUGGCAGAUGCUUCACCGAGCUCUUUCUCGUUCUGUGAGACCUCUUCAGCAUCAGUCUCUAGCUCUCUUUUAAUAUGAUCUUUUUUUUCUUCUCCUUCUUUCUUUCUCCAUCGUUCUGCUCCACCCUCUCUCUCGUUUCCCACCUAUCGGUUUAUUUUUCUUCGCUUCCAGUCUCUUUUGGUUCGCUCAUGACACACUAUCAGCAAACAUUGAUCCUCUGCGGUCAUUUCUAUCCUUAUCACGGGAUGCAACACACAGAUCCACAUUUGCGUUUGAACCUUCACCUCUCUUCCCUCUAUGUUAAUCCUUCUACUCUUUCCAAGCCAAGUGAGCAUGCCCAUCCUUAGUCUCAGCCUUUGUGUCGUUAUAGUUUCUGACCCUCCCUAUCAACACAUUGUUGAAAUGGCGGCUAAUGGUUUCACAAGAGAGGUGGAACCUCUCUUGUAUAACUCUGAUUCGCUGAUUAUGACCUAUAAUGCUUAAGAAUAUAGCAACCUGCUCUUCCACCAGAACAGUGAUGGUAUCUCUCAGCAGUCCUUGCUCUCUAAAAGUGUCGGAUAGUUUGUGAAACAGACGUUUAUCCAUCCGAAGCACUUCCCUGCAAUCUUCAACAGGUCCUUGAAGCAAGUCUUUUAAAUAUGUACCUCUUGUAGAAGGCGAAGUUCCCGGAGGUUGGUUUACUAGACUUUGGUAGUAUAAGUAACCAGCAGCUGCAGCAACUAGCUCCAUCUCAUCUAGUUCUAAGUCUAAAUCGAUGCUACUAGUGGAGGAAUCUGAAAGUAUAGCCAAAAGUACCAGUCAGUGUUCUAAAAAUCGGUCUAUGCGGAGUCUAGCCGUCUGCUUAAGUGGCAAAUCGGAUUUAAAUGGUUUAAGUGUUUGUCCGACUAAUCAAUAAUCCUCUAUAAAGCUCCUAAUUACGGUCUAGCUAUUUUUUUAACAUUGGUAAUAAUGUAACUAAAUUAAUGUCAUUAUGAUCAGUGUUUGUACCAGUGACAAUAUCAAAUGUUUUAUUUCAAAUAUUGUUUCAAACACCUUGUAAGUUGUCUCCGUUCUUCUUAGUCAAAGCUGCUGCUCUCAUUUUGGAAGCUGCUGCGAGUUCUAGCAUGGCUUCAACUAUGGCAACACCACCAGCCUUGCGGUUUCUCCUGCGAGACGGUCCAGAACCACCAGAAGGUGCUGUCGGAAUACGCUUGUUGUGUCCGUUAAUGACGUGUACUUCGUCUCCAGAGCCGCCAGAGGAAAGUUCAUCAUCAUCAUCAUCACCAUCACCAGACAUCAUUCUUCAACAUGCAAAAACCAACGCAAGUGAUUCAGACAGAAGAGAAUGUGCGAAGCUUAGUACAAGACCUUAGCUCAAAGCAUCAAGUUUGAACAAGAAGAAGGUUUGGUUCUGAGAAAAAUUUGAGCGAUUGCUAAUGGCCUCGAACAUUAGGGAUUCUGACAAUUGAGUCCUGUCCCUUAGUUUUGUUUUCUUUUCAUUAGUCGCUCAAAACUUUCAACACUUUAUGUUUUUGGCGUCAUAUUUUAUCCGAUAUCAAAUUAGCCCAGAAUCCAAAAAUAUAAUUUAAUUUGUCUACUUGAGACGAUUAAUCAAGUGGCUAAUCUUCAAUAUCUCCACAAAAAAUAAUAAUUUAUCGACUUGAGAUGAUUAAUCAAGUGGCUAAUCUUCAAUAUCUCAGACUAAAGAUUAACAGAACCUCUUAAACUUAUUACUCAUGAUUCGCCAUGAGUUAAUCACACUGAUAAAUAAAAGAGAAUUGGAAAGAAGAAAGAAAAAUCCAAAGGGGAUUGAUUAUCUAUAAUCUUUACUAAAUUAACAAUCAAACCAUUUUUGCAUAAAGUUUACAAAAGAAAAGAACAAGAACACAAGAAGAGACUCAAAAGAAACUAUAAUCUCUAACAAUAGAUCAGAUAAAGACAUGAAAAGCUUUUUAUUUUCUCUUCAGCUGGGAGCCAAGAAAUGAACACGAGCAAGUGUGUACUCUUUCCCAGCAAUCCAAACACCAGUCUGUGACCAUUGUACAUCUUCCCAAUCCAGAUUCUCCUCCAACACCUGUUUCUCAAUUCCACAAACAUCAUCAUCAUCACUUGUUUUAUAAUUAACAAAAAAAUACAAGAAUUUUACUAAAUUAAUGUUAACCUCGACGUGAUCUGGUGGGAGUGGAAACCCGAUAUCCCGCAUAAGCUUCUGCGGGAGAGGUUUCUUACAUCGUGACCAACGGAAAACAUCAAUUACACUGUUGUCUGAAUCUGUAUCUGUUUUUUCACCGUCUGUUGUCACAUGAGGGAGAGGUUUCCUCCAUCGUAACCAACGGAAAACGUUUAAGGAAAACAUGACAGAGUUGUUAUUGUUAUCCAUCUCCUUAGCUUCUUCGGAUGAUGAGUGUUGUUGUUGGGAGGCUUGGAAUUCUUUCAUAGUCUUCUCUCCAGCGAAACAGAGCUCAUACCUAUUUGCCAUACAAAAGAGUUUGAUUUAGCAUGUAACAAUAUCUCAUUAAUGUUGUUUGAUAUAAACAUGUGUUUAAAUACCUGGAUGAAUGUGUUUCAAGGUACAAAACUUCUCCUUUCUUCAAGCGAGCAGAGGUGAAAAGAGGCUUUUUCAGACCCUUAUCGGCCACAGCGCUUAUGCUAUAUUUGAUCCUGCAAGAAACAAAAAAGAAAAGUAAAUCAAUGCGUGGGUAAAAAGUGAUCUUAGAAGGUAAAGAUUAUCUAAAGCAUUGUGCGGAAGUUUUCAGAGAGUUUACCAAGGUUCAUUGCAGAGGUUGUAUUGUAUUGUUACUUCUCGAACAAACCUUUGUUGCCGCUGACCAUUCUACAGAACGGUAAACAAGUCAUCAGUACUGAAACAUGUCUAAUCAAAUUUUGAAAUGCAAGUGAAGUGAGGGAUAGAGAAUCAGAGAUUUUAAAGUACCGAAGCUGCAGCUCUGGUGGUCAUAGACUUAUCAACAGCCAUUGGUGCAAGUGUUGGCUCUGAGGAGUGUGUAAGAGAGGGUUCCAGUUCUAUAGUUCCACCUCCUUUCUGAAAUAAAAACACCAGUAAGGACUUGAAAAAGAAUCCACUUUUUAAACUGGAUAUUAUGAACAUCCUGCCAAGGAAACAAGGAGGACAGAUAACAAAGAGAUGUCAAAUUAAUAACCUUAAGUAUAUAGCACCGCUCAACUUUGUAACUGCAUCCGAUUCCAGCUCCCCAUGAUCGAGAGCGGACAUUGUUCCUUAGCUUGGAGGUAUAGUCUUAAAAUAUAAUAUAUAUCGAAUAUAAAAAGUUAGUAUGAACAUGGAAAAGUCAAUAAAAGCACAAAGAUAAAAACCUAACUUACAAUCUUGUGACGGCAAGACUCUAAUGGUAGCACGCAACUCUUGCAAUGUCGGUGGAGGAGGGGAAGAUGUAGGACGACAAUAACCUGUAUGCAUGAGAACUAGAAGACAUACCAGAAUCAGUGUUAUGUUAGUUCAAAGCCAAGGCAUGAAAUGCAAAGAUUCUUUAGGACACGUACCAGCAACAAGAUCUGAAUCAUCUGUGUAUAUGUCUGUUCCCCAUAGCUGGCCACCUCUUACCUUCAUAAAAAUAAGCCAAAGGUCUCAAUAUACAAUAAAAAAAGAUUAUGAGAAAGUCUUUGGAUGUAUCUUCGUCUUACUCGGCGGUUAGUAGCAGUAACAUACUCAGCUGGAAUCUGAACUUCAAGAGUGGGGCCAUUACUUGCGAACUCACCACUUUUGUCAGGCUGAGAAGAUUCAUAUUCCUUCCACAAUUUAAUCAGUUCUUGCAUACAUUCCCCAACGUUGUAAACAACAACCGGAACCUCUGAUUCGCCUGGAUCAUUCAGUAAAACAAAAAUUCAACAAGCUGUCGCUCUGACCAAAACUAUGUUCCAUAUAAAAGUUGAUAAAAGCAGCAGAAACUUGAUACAUGUGAGCUCAACCUUAUACUAAUCUUAUACUUGAUAAAAAAAACAAUGCAGAGAUAUAAGCAACUUUAAGCAACACAAAUGAAGUAGCAUUGGGGAUUGAAACCGACUUUUUGGUCCAAUCAUUUUAUAUUUUAACAUUCUACCGUUACUCUGCAACCUAAAGGCAAGCCUAAGAAGGAAACCUCAUAGAUUAAUUAUCAAGUACAAGUGUGUCGCAGAUGACCAUCAUCAAUGCACAUAUAAAAACGAAUGCCAGUUUAACCGAUUAUUUUUCUUUCACUAUUGUUCACCAAGCAGUGCAAAUCGAUCCUUUCUCGAAGACAUAGUAACGAAUGAUUACCUUGUACCCUGCAAAGAAAACACACACACAAUCAAACAUGGAUGAUGCAUUAGAAACCAGAUUAGUGACUGACAAAAGUUUAAGGACUUAGACCAAUCAACUAACUUACAUGGUAAAAGAAACGAAGGGAAAAUAAUCUUCUUAACACAGAGAGUAAGGGAGGCGGCAGGGAAGAAUAUCAAAAGAGACGGCAAAUUUAGGUUUUCAAGGUGCAAAAUUUUCUUUACAGGCUUUUUAAAAGAAAAGAAAACAAUAAUGGUAAUGAGAUAUUCUCAACAAUAAUCAAUAUCGCCUGCAGAUUUUACUAAAUAUGUUCAAAUUUCAACCAAUCCUGGCGUCUCUACUCUCUCCAAAAGGUAAAAAAAAUUAUAGGAUUAAGCUAAGAUAUGAGAGGCUAAUACUAAUUAGACAGCGUCUAAUAUAAAUGCGUAAGACAAAGAGACGCACGCAACCUUCGUAGUUGUCCUGACUCCGUGAACGGACACGGUCGUGGUUUGUGGGCUGUCACAUAUUCCUCUUGUGCAGGUUUUGGCAGAUGCUUCACCGAGCUCUUUCUCGUUCUGUGAGACCUCUUCAGCAUCAGUCUCUAGCUCUCUUUUAAUAUGAUCUUUUUUUUCUUCUCCUUCUUUCUUUCUCCAUCGUUCUGCUCCACCCUCUCUCUCGUUUCCC
RNAcentral lists this long non-coding RNA (4993 nucleotides) under Brassica rapa (field mustard). Its description in RNAcentral is "long non-coding RNA (BRAP_LNC007973)". The record is from RNAcentral. Lineage: Eukaryota; Viridiplantae; Streptophyta; Magnoliopsida; Brassicales; Brassicaceae.